ACUCGUCCUCUGGAUUGAUAUUGCGUGAAGAGGCCUGAAUCUGUUGUGAUCGACAAUGGAAUUGUUCAAGUCACUUUAUCCAAGCCAGGUGGUUUUGUCCUUGCAGUAAAAUAUAAUGGAGUUGAGAACAUACUGGAACCUAAAAAUGAUGUAGAUGAUCGUGGUUACUGGGACAUUGUUUGG
Non-coding RNA from Jatropha curcas, 183 nucleotides. NCBI's taxonomy places the organism in Eukaryota, Viridiplantae, Streptophyta, Magnoliopsida, Malpighiales, Euphorbiaceae. The record is from RefSeq and is a predicted model, not a curated record.